RNAcentral lists this ribosomal RNA (305 nucleotides) under uncultured bacterium. Its description in RNAcentral is "bacterial SSU rRNA". It matches the Rfam family "Bacterial small subunit ribosomal RNA", at positions 334 to 637 of the family's 1533-position model. The record is from RNAcentral.
AACGGCCUACGGGAGGCAGCAGUGAGGAAUAUUGGUCAAUGGGCGAGAGCCUGAACCAGCCAAGUCGCGUGAGGGAGUACUGCCCUAUGGGUUGUAAACCUCUUUUGUCGGGGAGCAAAAGCCGGACGUGUCCGUCUGUGAGAGUACCCGAAGAAAAAGCAUCGGCUAACUCCGUGCCAGCAGCCGCGGUAAUACGGAGGAUGCGUGCGUUAUCCGGAUUUAUUGGGUUUAAAGGGUGCGCAGGCGGAUUUUUAAGUCAGCGGUCAAAUCGGGGGGCUCAUCCCCAUCCAGCCGUUGAAACUGGG